CUUGCUUUAGGAAGCGGAAGACUAAUGACCGAAGCUUCAAGACUUUGACAUGUGUGAAAACAUGAAAUGACCCUUGGCUCUUAUUGUUCUUGCUGGUGUGGUAUGUUCACGGCUGAAAAGAUGGUCAGAAGGGGAAAGGAGGAAGUGAGAAGAAAGAAACAGGGAAAUGGCUGGAGUGCGAUGGCAUGAUCUUGGCUCACGGCAAACUCCGCCUCCCUGGUUCAAGUGAUUCUCCUGCCUCAGCCUCCCGAGUAGCCGGGAUUACAGGCAUGUGCCACCAUGCCCCGUUGGCCAGGCUGGUCUCGAACACCUUACCUCAGGUGAUCCUCCCACCUUUGGGAUUACAGACCCUGCAUGUGAUGGAUCAGCUGACACCAUCCAGAUCGGUAAACUGGUUCAUCUGAUCUUGUGCCCUCCACCCAGGAACUGACUCAGCGCAAGAAGACAGCUUCGACUCCUUGUGAUUUCAUCCCUAACCAAUCAGCACUCCUGGCUCACUGGCUUCCCCCAACCCACCAAAUUGUCCUUAAAAACUCUGCUCUCCAAACGCUGGGGGAGACUGAUUUGAGUAAUAAUAAAACCCUGGUCUCCUGCA
This is a long non-coding RNA of Homo sapiens (human), 595 nucleotides long. Ensembl annotates it as PCED1B antisense RNA 1. Its record names the gene PCED1B-AS1. The record is from Ensembl. Lineage: Eukaryota; Metazoa; Chordata; Mammalia; Primates; Hominidae.